UUAAGACUUGAUGUAACAUGGUUAGCCCAGAGCAGAUGGGUUAUUUCCCUGCCACCAGCAUGACAUCAGAAUUUGGUUAUGAUAGUUUGGAACUCCCCACAAAGGAAUCAGGUUAAACAUUCUGAACAAUGGCAUUGUUCCCUUGAGCCAGGAGACUACAGUCUCCUGUGUAGGAGAGCGUUUGAAUUGCAAGGAAACCAUGUCCAGAUUCAACCCCCUUACCCUCCUCCCCACAUUUCCUCUGGUCAUGUUGGGUCAGCUACUAUCCAAGUGUCCUGGACAGAGCUCAAAAGAUCAAAGAUGAAUGGACCUCCAAUGAUUCACCUUACAGUUUACCUGAGUCUGUGGUGACAGCCUCUCUACAACAUAGGAGAUACACAGGGUAUUUUCAGAGACUUUGAAGGGCUAAUGACACUGUUUUUCAAAGAGGAGUGGCUUGUGUGGCCUCUCAGAGGUUUCCUGGAAUGUAGCUCCACAUUUCUGGUGAACCUGUGCUGCUGGAAAUCCUGAGCAACGGAGAGAACAUAGGCACUGGAGAGGAAGAGCUGGGCUGAAUACCAACUCUGUUGCUUACUAGCCAGCUGAAUCUAGGUCAGUUACUGAAACUCUUGGAGCCUCAGUUUCCUUGCUUGUAAAUGAGGAUAUCAGUCAUUCUUCCAUCAUCAAUUUGUUGUGAGAACUAAAUGAGAUAAUAAUCAUACUUUACUUAGAACAUUGCUUGCACCGUUAGUGCUAUCUAAGUAUUA
Long non-coding RNA from Pan paniscus (pygmy chimpanzee), 746 nucleotides. NCBI's taxonomy places the organism in Eukaryota, Metazoa, Chordata, Mammalia, Primates, Hominidae. The record is from Ensembl.